RNAcentral lists this ribosomal RNA (380 nucleotides) under uncultured eukaryote. RNAcentral describes it as "partial 18S ribosomal RNA". It matches the Rfam family "Eukaryotic small subunit ribosomal RNA", at positions 592 to 976 of the family's 1831-position model. The record is from RNAcentral.
CAAUAGUGUAUAUUAAAGUUGUUGCAGUUAGAACGCUCGUAGUCGGAUUUCGGGGCGUUCCGACCGGUCUGCCGAUGGGUAUGCACUGGCCGGAGUGUCCUUUUUGCCGGAGACCGUGCCUACUCUUAACUGAGCGGGGGCGGGAGACGGCACUUUUACUUUGAAAAAAUCAGAGUGUUUCAAGCAGGCAGCUCGCUCUUGCAUGGAUUAGCAUGGGAUAAUGAAAUAGGACUUUGGUGCUAUUUUGUUGGUUUCGAACACCGAAGUAAUGAUGAGAAGGGACAGUCAGGGGCACUCGUAUUCCGCAGAGAGAGGUGAAAUUCUCAGACCCGCGGAAGACGAACCACUGCGAAAGCAUUUGCCAGGGAUGUUUUCACUGA